Molecule: ribosomal RNA, 119 nt
Filed under: Vigna angularis (adzuki bean)
Lineage: Eukaryota; Viridiplantae; Streptophyta; Magnoliopsida; Fabales; Fabaceae
Source: RNAcentral
AGGUGCGAUCAUACCAGCACUAAUGCACUGGAUCCCAUCAGAACUCCGCAGUGAAGCGUGCUUCGGCGAGAGUAGUACUAGGAUCGGUGACCUCCUGGGAAAUCCUCUUGUUGCACCUC